AGGACGAACGCUGGCGGCGUGCUUAACACAUGCAAGUCAAGGGGGCCCAGCAAUGGGCAACCGGCGAACGGGUGCGUAACACGUGAGCAACCUACCGAAAUGUGGGGGAUAGCCGGCCUAACGGCCGAGUAAUACCGCAUACGCUCUCGAUGAGGCAUUUCAUUGAGAGGAAACCUACGGGACAUUUCGAGGGGCUCGCGGCCUAUCAGCUAGUUGGAGAGGUAACGGCUCACCAAGGCAACGACGGGGUAGCUGGUCUGAGAGGAUGGCCAGCCACAUUGGGACUGAGAUACGGCCCAGACUCCUACGGAAGCAGCAGGUGGGGAAUCGUUGCGACAAUCGG
Molecule: ribosomal RNA, 343 nt
Filed under: uncultured soil bacterium
Lineage: Bacteria
Description: bacterial SSU rRNA
Rfam family: Bacterial small subunit ribosomal RNA
Source: RNAcentral